RNAcentral lists this long non-coding RNA (1584 nucleotides) under Homo sapiens (human). RNAcentral describes it as "HSALNT0265045". The record is from RNAcentral. Lineage: Eukaryota; Metazoa; Chordata; Mammalia; Primates; Hominidae.
GGCUUCGUGAGGCGGAAGUGACGCAGUGUUGUCGUCUCGUAGGCUUGAAAGUUUAGUUCCAGGAUCCACACUCCUCCACCAUAGUCAGGAGAUUCAGGGAAAGUUGGCAGGGUUCAGCUUUCAAGUUGACCCUUGAUGAACCAUGGUCAAUCCUGUUAAGAGGCGUGAAAGCCAAUCCCAGCCAAUGAGACUGGGGAGAAAUCACUGAAGAACUUGUGGAAAACAGACCCUCUGGAUAAAAGACACGUGUGGGGAAAAAGGGGCUUUUUAAUGUUAUUCUGGAUGUUUCCCAAAAGUACUGCUGCUGCCUUGCCUCCCUGACAGACACUGGCCUUAGGAUGACAUGCGGCAGGAAGGAAGGACGGAUCUGGGGUUUUUCAAGACUCACUGAGAUGCACAAGGAACCAACCCUCAAGUAGCCAACUCGUUCCUGUUUGCAUGUGUCGACUGAAAAGAAUCAAAAUAAACAAAAUAUAACUAUUUCUAAGAGGUUACAACUUGCAGGCAGGAAGCAGGCCUCUACCUGAGGCCAUAAAGCAUACUUUGAAGGAGAAAAGGUAGGUAUUUAUGCUAGGUGGAGAGGUAGGAUAUACGUAUUCUGUAGCAUACAGGAGAAGCCUAUGAAAAUUCAUGGAGGAAACUCGUUAGAGACACGCACUGGGCUUACAUAUGAAGAAUAUCCAAAAGCGGAUGACCUGUGUUCACUCUGGGGUGAAGAUUUAACAUUUAAAUGUAUUAUAAUUAGGCUGUAAAUGCAAAAAGGUGAAACAUAGGGCACAAGUUCACGAUCUGUGCAAUCUCCAGAGACCAGUCUGAUCUAGCCUGCAGCUGGCAGUCAUCUGUCAAGAAGGGGCUCUUUGUAGCCCAGAGUAGCUGUCAGGUUGGAACCAUAAAACCAAAAGGAGGGCAUCGGCGGUUAGGUGAAGAAAAGAAGUCUUUUGGCCUUUUUUCCUCUUCAAGUCAGCUUUUGAUAAGAUCUAGUAAUAAUAAGGGGAUGGGUGUGGCUGCAGGUGGGACAUGUCGGUUCUCUGUCCUGUCACAGCUAAGAACUAAGAACUUUAGAGUCUUUCAGCCAUAGAGGGUCCUGUCAUCCAUUGAAGGGAUCAGUCCAUUGGGAUUUUGCCAGUUUUAGCAUUGAUGCUGUGUCCUGGGAAACCCCUGAAUACUUAUCAUAGCAGAAGUUCAGCCACUGUAGCCCUACCUCAGGACCGCUUUUAUGGGAAAGAAUAAUUCCUUUAACUGCUUGAGCCAUUUGAGUUGUGGCUGCUUUUGGUACUUGUAAUAAAUUGAAAGCAUCUUGAAUGUUCUGGGACAGUAAAAGAAUGUGCCUUUGUUUCUGACAGCAAUUAUAAAAUCAAUUAUAUGUUUAUAUUCUAAAAAAUGUUUUGAGUAAUGCUGACAUCAUUGGAAAAGUGCAUCACUUAGAAAAUGUAUCUGUGUGUCAAUUUUGUUUGUUCAAAAUCAGUUUCAUUAAUUUGUGGGAAGAUACACCUUGUACAUUUUACCUAAUUAAAAAAAAUAUUGCCAGUUGAGUAUACUUGUGAUAUAUUCAAAGAUAAAUAAACUUUUUCAAUUUUAGAUAUU